GGGAGGGGAGUGAAAGAGAACCUGAAACCCUGUGUUUACAAGCAGACAAAGCACGUUAAGGUGCGAUGUCGUACUUUUUGUAGAACGGUCCGGCGAGUUAUUUUAUAUGGCAAGGUUAAGUACUAUUAAGGUACGAAGCCGAAGCGAGAGCGAGUCUGAAAAGGGCGAGUAAGUCAUAUGAAAUAGACCCGAAACCGAGUGACCUAUCCAUGGUCAGGAUGAAGCUUGAGUAAAAUCAAGUGGAGGUCCGAACCCAUAAGCGUUAAAAAGCUUCGGGAUGAACUGUGGAUAGCGGAGAAAUUCCAAUCGAACUCGGAGAUAGCUGGUUCUCCUCGAAAUAGUUUUAGGACUAGCCUUGUUUAGUAGUAUGUGGGGGUAGAGCACUGAAUGAGCUAGGGGCCAAACCAGGUUACUGAACUCUAUCAAACUCCGAAUACCAUGUACGUAAGAACAGGAGUCAGACUGCGGGAGCUAAGUUCCGUGGUCAAAAGGGAAAGAGCCCAGAUCGUCAAUUAAGGUCCCAAAGAUAUAGUUAAGUGGAAAACGAUGUGAUUUUGCGUAAACAACCAGGAUGUUGGCUUAGAAGCAGCCAUUCAUUUAAAGAGUGCGUAAUAGCUCACUGGUCGAGUGGAGUUGCGCGGAAAAUUACCGGGGCUAAACUAUACACCGAAAUUGCGGAUUCAUGAGUAAUCAUGAGUGGUAGAGGAGCAUUCUAUAGUAGGACGAAGGUAGAUCGAAAGGACUGCUGGACGAGAUAGAAGAGAGAAUGCCGGAAUAAGUAGCGAAAGCAUGGUGAGAAUCCAUGCCAUCGAAAGUCUAAGGUUUCCUGGGGAAGGUUCGUCCGCCCAGGGUAAGUCGGGACCUAAGGAGAGGCCGAAAGGCGUAUCUGAUGGACAGCAGGUAGAAAUUCCUGCACCACCGAUAUACUUAAAAAAUGCAAGGGACACAGUAGUGGAAGGAAAGCGAGGAAGAGGAAAGACUCGUAUCGAAAGAUAUAGUGAAAAAAUAAGUAACGAAUUUCCAAGAAGCACACUGGCGAGAAAAGCUUGUAGGAAUUGUAUAAAGGUGCCCGUACCGCAAACCGACACAGGUAGAUGAGGAGAGGAUCCUAAGAUGAGCGAGAGAAGCAUUGUUAAGGAACUCGGCAAAUUGACCCCGUAACUUAGGGAGAAGGGGUGCCAAAGUAAAAUUUGGUCGCAGAGAAGAGGCCCAAGCAACUGUUUAACAAAAACACAGGUUUCUGCUAAAUCGAAAGAUGAAGUAUAGGAGCUGACGCCUGCCCAGUGCUGGAAGGUUAAGGGGAAGAGUUAGAUGUAAGUCGAAGCUUAGAACCAAAGCCCCAGUGAACGGCGGCCGUAACUAUAACGGUCCUAAGGUAGCGAAAUUCCUUGUCAGGUAAGUUCUGACCCGCACGAAAGGCGUAAUGAUUUGGGCGCUGUCUCGACAAUGUACUCGGCGAAAUUGUAGUACUAGUGAAGAUGCUAGUUACCUGCGACAAGACAGAAAGACCCCAUGGAGCUUUACUGUAGCUUGAUACUGGGUUUCGAUAAUUUAUGUACAGGAUAGGUGGGAGGCGAAGAAGCAAUUGCGCCAGCAGUUGUGGAGUCAUCCUUGGGAUACCACCCUUAAGUUAUUGAAAUUCUAACCUGUAGUCCUGAGCGGGCUAGGGGACAAUGUCAGGCGGGCAGUUUGACUGGGGCGGUCGCCUCCAAAAGAGUAACGGAGGCGCGCAAAGGUUUCCUCAGCGCGGACAGAAAUCGCGCGAAAGAGUGCAAAGGCAGAAGGAAGCUUAACUGAGAGACUGACAAGUCGACCAGAUACGAAAGUAGGUCUUAGUGAUCCGGCGGUAGUGAGUGGAAAUGCCGUCGCUCAACGGACAAAAGUUACCCUGGGGAUAACAGGCUUAUC
Molecule: ribosomal RNA, 1908 nt
Filed under: human gut metagenome
Description: bacterial LSU rRNA
Rfam family: Bacterial large subunit ribosomal RNA
Source: RNAcentral